RNAcentral lists this ribosomal RNA (497 nucleotides) under uncultured bacterium. RNAcentral's name for it is "partial 16S ribosomal RNA". It matches the Rfam family "Bacterial small subunit ribosomal RNA", at positions 28 to 507 of the family's 1533-position model. The record is from RNAcentral.
GAUGAACGCUGGCGGCGUGCCUAAUACAUGCAAGUCGAGCGAACGGAUGAGAAGCUUGCUUCUCUGAUGUUAGCGGCGGACGGGUGAGUAACACGUGGAUAACCUACCUAUAAGACUGGGAUAACUUCGGGAAACCGGAGCUAAUACCGGAUAAUAUUUUGAACCGCAUGGUUCAAAAGUGAAAGACGGUCUUGCUGUCACUUAUAGAUGGAUCCGCGCUGCAUUAGCUAGUUGGUAAGGUAACGGCUUACCAAGGCAACGAUGCAUAGCCGACCUGAGAGGGUGAUCGGCCACACUGGAACUGAGACACGGUCCAGACUCCUACGGGAGGCAGCAGUAGGGAAUCUUCCGCAAAGGGCGAAAGCCUGACGGAGCAACGCCGCGUGAGUGAUGAAGGUCUUCGGAUCGUAAAACUCUGUUAUUAGGGAAGAACAUAUGUGUAAGUAACUGUGCACAUCUUGACGGUACCUAAUCAGAAAGCCACGGCUAACUACGUG